GUAUAGAGGAAUAACCCUGAGCAAAGCUG
Molecule: non-coding RNA, 29 nt
Filed under: Cricetulus griseus (Chinese hamster)
Lineage: Eukaryota; Metazoa; Chordata; Mammalia; Rodentia; Cricetidae
Source: RNAcentral